This 468-nucleotide ribosomal RNA is filed under the name uncultured bacterium. Its description in RNAcentral is "partial 16S ribosomal RNA". It matches the Rfam family "Bacterial small subunit ribosomal RNA", at positions 28 to 507 of the family's 1533-position model. The record is from RNAcentral.
GACGAACGCUGGCGGCGUGCUUAACACAUGCAAGUCGAACGGAAAGGCCCUGCUUUUGUGGGGUGCUCGAGUGGCGAACGGGUGAGUAACACGUGAGUAACCUGCCCUUGACUUUGGGAUAACUUCAGGAAACUGGGGCUAAUACCGGAUAGGAGCUCCUGCUGCAUGGUGGGGGUUGGAAAGUUUCGUCGGUUGGGGAUGGACUCGCGGCUUAUCAGCUUGUUGGUGGGGUAGUGGCUUACCAAGGCUUUGACGGGUAGCCGGCCUGAGAGGGUGACCGGCCACAUUGGGACUGAGAUACGGCCCAGACUCCUACGGGAGGCAGCAGUGGGGAAUAUUGCACAAUGGGCGGAAGCCUGAUGCAGCAACGCCGCGUGCGGGAUGACGGCCUUCGGGUUGUAAACCGCUUUCGCCUGUGACGAAGCAUGAGUGACGGUAAUGGGUAAAGAAGCACCGGCUAACUACGUG